GGACCCGCACAAGCAGUGGAGCAUGUGGUUUAAUUCGACGCAACGCGAAGAACCUUACCAGCGUUUGACAUGGGAAGUGCCGGUUACAGAAUGGUAACCUUCAGUUCGGCUGGCUUCCACACAGGUGCUGCAUGGCUGUCGUCAGCUCGUGUCGUGAGAUGUUGGGUUAAGUCCCGCAACGAGCGCAACCCUUAUCGUUAGUUACUAACAGUUCGGCUGAGGACUCUAGCGAAACUGCCGGUGAUAAGCCGGAGGAAGGUGGGGAUGACGUCAAGUCCUCAUGGCCCUUACACGCUGGGCUACACACGUGCUACAAUGGCCGGUACAAAGGGUUGCCAAGCCGCGAGGUGGAGCUAAUCCCAUAAAGCCGGUCGUAGUCCGGAUUGGAGUCUGAAACUCGACUCCAUG
RNAcentral lists this ribosomal RNA (408 nucleotides) under uncultured bacterium. RNAcentral describes it as "bacterial SSU rRNA". It matches the Rfam family "Bacterial small subunit ribosomal RNA", at positions 917 to 1322 of the family's 1533-position model. The record is from RNAcentral.